Molecule: non-coding RNA, 1310 nt
Organism: Xyrichtys novacula (pearly razorfish)
Lineage: Eukaryota; Metazoa; Chordata; Actinopteri; Labriformes; Labridae
Source: the annotation of a GenBank genome assembly
UGGAAGAGGGCAGGUUUGAAGGGACAAAAAAUUCUAAAUUUGGGCCCAACCUGUAAAACAAACACAAACACCUGCACUUAAGUGACUGGAACCCAUUUUACAUGACAACAGCACCAUCUCUGGGAUGAGUGAGGAACUUCACACACAGAGUGAGAGCAUUCAGUGACAAAAGAUCAGUGUCAUGUUAAGGUGUUGAGAAUACAGUUGAAGCUUUAAGAAUCUCACCUGUUUUGUAUUUCAAUACUUGGAACUAAUACUGAAAGUUUUAAUUUAUUUUUAACAAGUUUGAAUUGCUUUUCAAGAUUAUUCUCAGUGUUUUAACUUUGUUCUCAACAACUCAACUUGCUGAUUUGAUCUUUAAAUGUUAAAUGUUUAAAUUGAAUUUGAUUCUGGUGAGUUUUUGAAAUAUUGAAUUCCUGACAUUAUUUAGGACGUUGUGACAUUCUAACAACAUUCUCAACACAUAAGGUGUAUUUUUUAUAUUUGGGCAAUUUUCCUGUAUUCCAAGGUUUUCAAUUUGAUCCUCGAUAUUUCAAGGCUGAUUUCUGUGUUGUUAUCAGUUUGGACUUAUCCUCAAAACCUUGGCUCUUGACAUUUUUACUCUUAAUGAAGAUUUUUCAGAUUUACUUUUUAUAUUUUGACAUCGUUUUUCACAUUUUUUUUAAAUUACUUCAUGCUGUUCUCUUAAUUUCAUGUCUGCUAUUGGCCCUUUGAUGAUUCUCAGAUCCACAGUUAACCUGUGACAGAUAAUCUCUUUCAGCUAGAGAUAUCUUCAGAGGCCAGGGAUCUGAAUGUUUUUAUUGAACAGAACAAAAAAGUGGCACAGACUUCAUUUUUUUCUGCUGUGUUGACUGUCUGUGAGGUCCUUCAGAACUAAAGAUACACAGAUCCAGAUCAUAAAGGCUUAAUAACACUGACAGGAUUAAACAAAAAUUCAUUUAACCUGUAUCUGCACUCUAAGAUGAUGUGUGAGAGGACCUGACACUUUUGAACCUGUUUGAAAAUGCAGAUACUUUUAAACUAAUUCAAACCCAUAUAAUUUGAUAUUAGUGUCUUCUUCUGUGCUCUGCUUUUAUGAACUGUCUCCUGUCUCUGAUAAGGUAACAUUUACCUGGAUGCUCCAGUUUUAGUACUGGACCAGCACCAAUGGUACAGUGUUGCAUGGGAAGUGUUGACAGCAUCUUUUCCUCUUUUUUUUUUUUUUUUUUUACCAACAUAUUUUUUAUUGUCACACAUGGACAACAUAUUUGUUUGCAUUUCUCACAUUAGUUUGUAUUUAAACAAGUUCUGAAUAAAAAUAUUAAAAUCAA